CCAAUGCCUCCAUCGAAACUAGCGUUCCGAUCUCUACGGCUCCUACCUAUCCUGUACAAGCGGUACCUGAAGAAUAAGCUCCGGCUAACUACGUGCCAGCAGCCGCGCUAAUACGUAGGGAGCAAGCGUUAUCCGGAUUUACUGGGUGUAAAGGGCGUGUAGGCGGGCUUGUAAGUUGGAAGUGAAAUCUCGGGGCUUAACCCCGAAACUGCUUUCAAAACUGCGAGUCUUGAGUGAUGGAGAGGCAGGCGGAAUUCCCAGUGUAGCGGUGAAAUGCGUAGAUAUUGGGAGGAACACCAGUGGCGAAGGCGGCCUGCUGGACAUUAACUGGUCGACGCGGCCG
Molecule: ribosomal RNA, 343 nt
Filed under: uncultured Butyricicoccus sp.
Lineage: Bacteria; Bacillati; Bacillota; Clostridia; Eubacteriales; Butyricicoccaceae
Description: bacterial SSU rRNA
Rfam family: Bacterial small subunit ribosomal RNA
Source: RNAcentral